This 2127-nucleotide long non-coding RNA is filed under the name Eucalyptus grandis. Its description in RNAcentral is "long non-coding RNA (EGRA_LNC005421)". The record is from RNAcentral. Lineage: Eukaryota; Viridiplantae; Streptophyta; Magnoliopsida; Myrtales; Myrtaceae.
UCCCCCUUCUUCCAACCCUCUCUCUCUCUCUCUCUCUCUCUGCCGAUUCACCCAUCUCAUCUCUACCUCUCCACUUUCAUUUUUCCUUUGAUCUCUGCACCUCCUCACCUCUUCUGCCGAAGCACCACCCACCCAAAACUUCUUCUUUCCUUCAUCCAUGCCACUCGUCUAUAAGCCAGCAAACCUCAGUCAACACCUCUACCCACAUAAGCCUCUUUGUUGACCCAGUUUGCUGCUGCCCGUGCCUUCUCUCCCUCGUGUGGACGCCAGCAUCACCGACCGAGCUGCCACACGUCCGAAGUCCCACGCCCUCAGCCCACAAAUUCUCCUCCUCCACGCCAACACUUUCACCGAAGCAGCUGACCGGCAGAAUUUGCAACGCCUCCAGCGAAGACCACCUGUCCGCGUGUUCCUCCAUCAACCGAAGCAGCUGCUCGCGUGCGUCUCUCCCUUGCCUCCUCCAGCUCGUGUCUUCAGCGAGCAAACUCCAGCAACGUCCAGUCUUCCUCAGCUCUUGCCAGGCGUUCUCCUCCAUGCGUGCGAGACACCACCAACGAAGCAGGCCCGUGAAAUCCAGCGUCUUCUCUCGCCUGGCCUAGCUCGCACGAACAGCCCAUCUUCGGGCUUUCUUGUUCAGGCCACAAACCAGUGGGAGUCCAGCCCACUUUGAGUCCAUCAACGCCAGCAACUCACGGGAAUUUCAGCCCAUCCACUCCAGCAAGUUGGUUUGGCCCAGCACGCAUUCUUUUCCAAGCCCGCGAAGUCAGCCUGCUUCAAGCCUGGUCCAAUUCAAAAGCAAAUCUCAGAUUGGACUGAGAUUUGUUGGGCCAAGUUUAGGCCCGGCCCAAGUUCGUCGACGCCGCCGAAAAUUUCGAUUUCGGCCGCCAUUGAGUAGUCGCCACAGUGAGCCAGUUUCCGCAAUUAACCGAUGAGGUUUAUACUCUAAACUCUCACAUUUAAAGGGUGUUUAGAUUUAUUUUAUUGGGAAUUAGGUGGUUAGUUAGAUUAAAUUAGAAAUUUAAUUAUUUAAUUGAGCAUGUUAGGUGGUUAGCAUGGUUUAGUUAAGGCCUAAAUAAAUUGUACUAUUUAUCUAGAAGGGUUUGGGAAUUUUCUAAGUCCGUAUUGGUAUUUAAUUUAAUAAUUUUGGCCUAGGUUAGUAUUUUUAGAAAUUAAAUUGAAUUAGUUAAUUAAUUUUCGAAAUUAGUUAAUUAUUAAUUAUUUUUCCGGAAAUUAGGCCGAGAUAGCUGAUGACCGGAAUUUCGUGCCAAUUGCAAUGGUGUGGUUAAAUUCUACAAUUGAGUGUUAAAUUAUGCAAAUUGAGUGCUAAUUGGAUUUUUGGUAUUUAAUUCCAAAAAUUGUAAAUUUCCAAUAUUUAUUCAAAAAAUCCUGAGUGUCAGGUUUUGACACCGAAAAUAGUUUUUAGUACCAUAAGAAAUAGUGGGAUUUCAAAAUGGAAGAAUAUCAAUUUUUUUGGGUCAAGUUGAACGUGUACUCACACACGAGUAAUUUCAUGUGAAUUUCUAAUACGAGGAAAAAGGCCAGGCUCACCAUUUUAAUUGAAGCAUUUGAGUGCAACGCACGGUGCCCUAGGCCAUAUUUGAGUGAUCGUGUGAUGGUUAAGAGAAAUCGUCCCGAGCUGUUAAGCUGGACGUUAUCCCUAUUCAGGAUACCCCUGGACAACGGGAAGCCGGUCACAGUAGAUUAUUGACCCUAUGCUCCUUCGGGAAAGUCGUCUAAAAGAGACUUGUCGUGCUCAAUGGGGUGAGACGAAGCCUGGCAAUGCCAGAAGACCAUCGAAUAGAGAGAAGGCCGUGCUAUAUGCCGAGAUCAAAACUAGGAACACAUGAUUAAUUGAGUGUGGCGUUUUAGUUAUUGGAGCUUAUUUGUUGCUCAUGCUCUCAUGUUGUCUGUGAUGUAAAUUGUACUAACCUGCAGGGUGAAUCUGAGAUGAGGUAAGUCUCCUUGAUUGUGUAAUUGUGUGAUUAAGACAUUUCUGGGCGUAUUUCCCUCCUAAUCGAGGUUUAGAGCUUAGACUCGCUGAGAUUAUAUCUCACCCAUUAUGGGAUAACAUUUUCAGGGUCAUCGAGUGGAGGACCGAGAGCCGAGAGGAGGUGAUGUGAAGUGUAG